GUGCCAGCAGCCGCGGUAAUACAGAGGGUGCGAGCGUUAAUCGGAAUUACUGGGCGUAAAGGGCGCGUAGGUGGUUACUUAAGUCAGAUGUGAAAUCCCUGGGCUUAACCUAGGAAUUGCAUUUGAAACUGAGUAGCUAGAGUAUGGUAGAGGGAAGUGGAAUUUCCGGUGUAGCGGUGAAAUGCGUAGAUAUCGGAAGGAACACCAGUGGCGAAGGCGACUUCCUGGACCAUUACUGACACUGAGGCGCGAAAGCGUGGGGAGCGAACAGGAUUAGAUACCCUGGUAGUCC
RNAcentral lists this ribosomal RNA (292 nucleotides) under uncultured bacterium. RNAcentral's name for it is "partial 16S ribosomal RNA". It matches the Rfam family "Bacterial small subunit ribosomal RNA", at positions 505 to 796 of the family's 1533-position model. The record is from RNAcentral.